UUAGAGUUUGAUCCUGGCUCAGGAUGAACGCUAGCGGCAGGCUUAACACAUGCAAGUCGAGGGGCAGCAUGUCCAGCAAUGGAUGAUGGCGACCGGCGGAAGGGUGCGUAACGCGUGAGCAACAUGCCCUAUACAGGGAGAUACACCAGGGAAACUUGGUCUAAUAUCCCAUAGCAUUCAUUGAAGGCAUCUUUAAUGAAUUAAAGCUUCGGUGGUAUAGGAUUGGCUCGCGUGACAUUAGCCAGAUGGUGAGGUAACGGCUCACCAUAGCAAUGAUGUCUAGGGGUUUUGGGAGGAAGGCCCCCCACACUGGGACUGAGACACGGCCCAGACCCCUACGGGAGGCAGCAGUGAGGAAUAUUGGACAAUGGAUGGAAAUCUGAUCCAGCCAUGCCGCGUGCAGGAAGACGGCCUUAUGGGUUGUAAACUGCUUUUAUACGGGAGCAAUAAGGGUUACGAGUAAUCCGAUGAGAGUACUGUAUGAAUAAGGAUCGGCUAACUCCGUGCCAGCAGCCGCGGUAAUACGGAGGAUCCGAGCGUUAUCCGGAAUUAUUGGGUUUAAAGGGUGCGUAGGCGGCCACUUAAGUCAGCGGUGAAAUUUUGCAGCUUAACUGUAACAGUGCCGUUGAUACUGUUUGGCUAGGAUUUGGUUGUAGUGUGCGGAAUGUGUGGUGUAGCGGUGAAAUGCUUAGAUAUCACACAGAACACCGAUUGCGAAGGCAGCACACUAAGUCAUUAUUGACGCUGAGGCACGAAAGUGUGGGGAUCAAACAGGAUUAGAUACCCUGGUAGUCCACACUGUAAACGAUGAUAACUCGCUGUCGGCGAUACACAGUAGGUGGGCAAGCGAAAGCAAUAAGUUAUCCACCUGGGGAGUACGACCGCAAG
This 888-nucleotide ribosomal RNA is filed under the name uncultured bacterium. RNAcentral's name for it is "bacterial SSU rRNA". It matches the Rfam family "Bacterial small subunit ribosomal RNA", at positions 1 to 892 of the family's 1533-position model. The record is from RNAcentral.